GACGAACGCUGGCGGCGUGCUUAACACAUGCAAGUCGAACGGAAAGGCCCUGCUUUUGUGGGGUGCUCGAGUGGCGAACGGGUGAGUAACACGUGAGUAACCUGCCCUUGACUUUGGGAUAACUUCAGGAAACUGGGGCUAAUACCGGAUAGGAGCUCCUGCUGCAUGGUGGGGGUUGGAAAGUUUCGGCGGUUGGGGAUGGACUCGCGGCUUAUCAGCUUGUUGGUGGGGUAGUGGCUUACCAAGGCUUUGACGGGUAGCCGGCCUGAGAGGGUGACCGGCCACAUUGGGACUGAGAUGCGGCACAGACGCCUACGGGAGGCAGCAGUGGGGAAUAUUGCACAAUGGGCGGAAGCCUGAUGAAGCAACGCCGCGUGCGGGAUGACGGCCGUCGGGUUGUAAACCGCUUUCGCCUGUGACGAAGCGUGAGUGACGGUAAGGGGUAGAAGCACCGGCUAACUACGUG
RNAcentral lists this ribosomal RNA (466 nucleotides) under uncultured bacterium. Its description in RNAcentral is "partial 16S ribosomal RNA". It matches the Rfam family "Bacterial small subunit ribosomal RNA", at positions 28 to 507 of the family's 1533-position model. The record is from RNAcentral.